RNAcentral lists this unclassified non-coding RNA (488 nucleotides) under Dactylospongia elegans. Its description in RNAcentral is "sequence contains ITS1, 5.8S rRNA gene, ITS2". The stretch from base 286 to 440 matches the Rfam family "5.8S ribosomal RNA". The record is from RNAcentral. Lineage: Eukaryota; Metazoa; Porifera; Demospongiae; Dictyoceratida; Thorectidae.
CGUAGGUGAACCUGCGGAAGGAUCAUUAUCAAAUCCUAGCCAUUGUUGCCUCGCUGCAACUGUGGUGAAGCACCGUGCACUGGCGACCGGGGAUGGGAGAGGCCCCGCUCGGUUGAUGGGAGGUGUGCGACCGGCAUGUGGUGUCGCACUUCAAUCGAUGGGACCGUAACGUCCGCCCGUCGGGCCUCAAACCGAGUUCUCCCCAUCUUUGGUUUUUUUGUUUUCCACGUUUGAAACUUUGUCAUGUCGGUGGUGGUAUUGUUUGUUAGUUGCAAAGUAAACGACAACUUCUGACGGUGGAUCUCUUGGCUCGUGCAUCGAUGAAGAACGCAGCAAGCUGCGAUACCUAGUGUGAAUUGCAGAAUUCAGUGAAUCAUCGAGUCUUUGAACGCAAAUGGCGCUCCCCGGGUCCCCUCGGGAGCAGGUCUGUUCGAGCGUCCGCCAACCAACCAAAUCGUUGCCCGUGCCGGGCAAGGAGAUUGAGGGGG